Molecule: transfer RNA, 88 nt
Filed under: Marixanthomonas spongiae
Lineage: Bacteria; Pseudomonadati; Bacteroidota; Flavobacteriia; Flavobacteriales; Flavobacteriaceae
Rfam family: tRNA
About the family: Transfer RNA (tRNA) molecules are approximately 80 nucleotides in length. Their secondary structure includes four short double-helical elements and three loops (D, anti-codon, and T loops).
Source: Rfam by way of RNAcentral
GGAGAGGUGCCGGAGUGGUCGAACGGGGCUCCCUGCUAAGGAGUUGUGCCCAUUGCGGGUACCGGGGGUUCGAAUCCCUUCCUCUCCG